UACAGAGGUCCCAAGCGUUGUUCGGAUUCACUGGGCGUAAAGGGUGCGUAGGCGGUCGGGUAAGUCUGAUGUGAAAUCUCACAGCUUAACUGUGAAACUGCAUUGGAUACUAUCCGGCUCGAGGAAUGGAGGGGAGACUGGAAUACUUGGUGUAGCAGUGAAAUGCGUAGAUAUCAAGUGGAACAUCAGUGGCGAAGGCGAGUCUCUGGACAUUUCCUGACGCUGAGGCACGAAAGCCAGGGGAGCAAACGGG
This 253-nucleotide ribosomal RNA is filed under the name uncultured bacterium. RNAcentral describes it as "partial 16S ribosomal RNA". It matches the Rfam family "Bacterial small subunit ribosomal RNA", at positions 524 to 776 of the family's 1533-position model. The record is from RNAcentral.